UUAAAAUAAAAUUAAUAAAUUUAUAUUUAAUUGAAGUAAUUUUAAUAUUAAAAUGGGGGUUUUAGUAUUAAUAAAGAAAAAAUUGAUAAAUUUAUAGUAAAUUAGUAUUGUAAAAUAAUUUUGAAAUAAUUUAAAUUUAAUUUAAUAAAAAGUAAAUUUAAUUUAUUGUAUCUUGGGUAUCAGAGUUUAUUAAAUAUUUUUUUUAAAAAAAAAGAUCUCGAAUUAAAAAGAGAUAAUUAAUUAAAAAAGUUAUUGUUAUAUAAAUAUUUUUAAUAGUUAAUUUGAAAUGAAAUGUUAAUCGUUUUUUAAGAUAUCUAGUUUUUUUAGAAAAAAAUUUAAUUUAAAAUUUAAUUAAUAAAUUAAUUAAUUUUUUAAUUAAUUUAAAUUAAAAUUUUAUAUUUUAAGGGAUAAGCUUUAAAAAUUAAAUUUUUAUAAUUAAUAAAAAAUUAUAAUAAAAUUUUUAAUAUUUAUAUUGUAUUUAAAUUAUAAUUUAUUAUAAAUAAUUUUAUUUUAAAUUUAAAUAAAAUUUAAAAUUUAAUUUAAUUUUUUAUAAAAAAAUAAUUUUUUAUAAUUAAAAAUUAUAUAUAAUGAUAAAAUUAGUAUAAUAUAUAUAUAUAUAUAUAUAUAUAAUUUAAUAUAAAUAAUGAAUGGUUGAAAAAUUAAUAAAAAGGAAUUCGGCAAAAAUUUAUAUUCACUUGUUUAUCAAAAACAUGUCUUUUUGUUUAAUAAUUAAAAGUCUAAUCUGCCCACUGAUUUAAAUAUUGAAGGGCUGCAGUAUAUUGACUGUACAAAGGUAGCAUAAUCAUUAGUCUUUUAAAUGGUGACUUGUAUGAAUGAUUGGAUGAAAUAUAAACUGUCUCUUUAUUAUAAGUAGAAUUUAAUUUUUUAAUUAAAAAGUUAAAAUGUAAUUAAAAGACGAGAAGACCCCAUAGAGUUUUAUAUAAUUAUUUAAUUUGAAAUUAUUUAUAAAUUUAUAAAAAAAAAAUUUAAAUUAAGUGAUUUUAUUUUAUUGGGGUGUUAGAAAAAUAAAUUUAACUUUUUUUUAUAUAAAACAUGAAUAAGUGAUUAUUUGAUCCAGAAUUUUUGAUUAUAAGAAAAAAUUACCUUAGGGAUAACAGCGUAAUUUUUUUUUUUAGAUCAAAUAAGAAAAAGAGUUUGCGACCUCGAUGUUGGAUUAAGAUAAAAUUUAAAUGCAAAAGUUUAAAAUUUUGAUCUGUUCGAUCAUUAAAAUCUUACAUGAUCUGAGUUCAAACCGGUGUGAGCCAGGUUGGUUCCUAUCUUUAAUAAGAUAAAAUAUUUUAGUACGAAAGGAUUGAAUAUAUGAAUUAAAUUUAUAAAUAUAUUUGAAUAAUAUUAACUAAUUUAUAAUUUAAAAUUGAUUUUUAUAUGAUAAAUAGUAUAAUAAAAUUAUG
RNAcentral lists this ribosomal RNA (1412 nucleotides) under Diatraea saccharalis (sugarcane borer). Its description in RNAcentral is "large subunit ribosomal RNA". The record is from RNAcentral. Lineage: Eukaryota; Metazoa; Arthropoda; Insecta; Lepidoptera; Crambidae.